RNAcentral lists this ribosomal RNA (461 nucleotides) under uncultured bacterium. RNAcentral's name for it is "partial 16S ribosomal RNA". It matches the Rfam family "Bacterial small subunit ribosomal RNA", at positions 338 to 795 of the family's 1533-position model. The record is from RNAcentral.
CCUACGGGAGGCAGCAGUGAGGAAUAUUGGUCAAUGGGCGCAAGCCUGAACCAGCCAAGUCGCGUGAGGGAAGACGGCCCUACGGGUUGUAAACCUCUUUUGCCGGGGAGCAAGCCUGAGCACGUGUGCCCAGGCGGAGAGUACCCGGAGAAAAAGCAUCGGCUAACUCCGUGCCAGCAGCCGCGGUAAUACGGAGGAUGCGAGCGUUAUCCGGAUUUAUUGGGUGUAAAGGGAGCGCAGGCGGCGCGUUAAGCCUGGUGUGAAAGCCCGCGGCCCAACCGCGGGACUGCAUUGGGAACUGGCGCGCUUGAGUGCCGGAGGGGUAGGCGGAAUUCCUAGUGUAGCGGUGAAAUGCGUAGAUAUUAGGAGGAACACCAGUGGCGAAGGCGGCCUACUGGACGGUGACUGACGCUGAGGCUCGAAAGCGUGGGGAGCAAACAGGAUUAGAUACCCUUGUAGUC